GCCCGAGUGGUGGAACAGGUAGACACAACGGACUUAAAAUCCGUCGACUUAAAAAGUCGUACCAGUUCGAUUCUGGUCUCGGGCACCA
RNAcentral lists this transfer RNA (88 nucleotides) under Neisseriales bacterium. Its description in RNAcentral is "tRNA-Leu". It matches the Rfam family "tRNA". From Rfam's summary of the family: Transfer RNA (tRNA) molecules are approximately 80 nucleotides in length. Their secondary structure includes four short double-helical elements and three loops (D, anti-codon, and T loops). The record is from RNAcentral. Lineage: Bacteria; Pseudomonadati; Pseudomonadota; Betaproteobacteria; Neisseriales.